ACCGGUCCGCCCUCUGGGUGAGUAUCUGGCUCGGCCUGGGCAUCUUCUUGGAGAACGUGUCUGCACUUGACUGUGUGGUGCGGUAUCCAGGACUUUUACUUUGAGGAAAUUAAAGUGUUUCAAGCAGGCUUACGCCUUGAAUACAUUAGCAUGGAAUAAUAAGAUAGGACCUCGGUUCUAUUUUGUUGGUUUCUAGAGCUGAGGUAAUGAUUAAUAGGGAUAGUUGGGGGCAUUCGUAUUUAACUGUCAGAGGUGAAAUUCUUGGAUUUGUUGAAGACGGACUACUGCGAAAGCAUUUGCCAAGGAUGUUU
RNAcentral lists this ribosomal RNA (311 nucleotides) under Prorocentrum sp. RCC5705. RNAcentral's name for it is "SSU rRNA". The stretch from base 81 to 311 matches the Rfam family "Eukaryotic small subunit ribosomal RNA", at positions 737 to 969 of the family's 1831-position model. Lineage: Eukaryota; Dinophyceae; Prorocentrales; Prorocentraceae. The record is from RNAcentral.